UGGAUCCUUCCCAGAAGGCGGAGUGGUUCCAACAACCGAGCUGUCUGGUAGCCACCAGCCUAGAACAUUAUUUUCAGGCCCAAGGAAGCAGUAUCGAGGUUUAAAGCAUAAGCUACUGAAGAGGCUAUUCUGUUAUCUGUGGUGUCUAUGCUGGACACACUGGCAUGCCCAGCCUGCACUUCCAGACCCAUCACUUUACCCCCCCCCCCCCCAACACAGCCAGCUCUGUGUCUUUAGAUGUUCUUAGACCCAGUCAAUGGUGGACUUGUACAAGCGUUUGGAGGGCAGAAAACCAGAAGUCUAGAAUACUGUCAUGUGUAUCCAUUAAAAUGCUCAUGGUUAAGCCA
RNAcentral lists this long non-coding RNA (347 nucleotides) under Mus spretus (western wild mouse). Its description in RNAcentral is "lncRNA (ENSMSPG00010021662.1)". The record is from RNAcentral. Lineage: Eukaryota; Metazoa; Chordata; Mammalia; Rodentia; Muridae.